AUAAAAUAACUAUGAUGUACGUAACAUAAAUUUUAAACACACAAAUAUUAAAAAAAAUUAUAAAAAAUACAUUUUCUUUUCUUUUUUUUUCCUUCCUUCCCUCUUCUUCUUCUUUUUUUUUUCUCUUCUCCUUUUUAUUUCUUUCCUUCUUUCUUUCUUUUUUCUUCUCCUUUCCUUUUCUUCUUCUUUCUUUCUUUCUUUUUUUCUCUUCUCCUUUCCUUUUCUUUCCUUCUUUUUCUUUCUUUCUUUCUUUCUUUCCCUCUCCUUCUGGUCCCCCCCAUCGACCCCCCUAAUAAACAUUGGUGCCGCCAAUGGUAUUGGCACCAUUGGUGCCCGCCAAUGGCUUUGGCACCUUUGGUGCCGCCAAUCCCAUUGGCGUGACCAAGGUACACCCGUCACAUCGGUCAGAUUUUUUUUUCAGGUUUUUUUUGAUAUAUUUUGGUAAAUAAAAAAAUAUAUUUUUUGGUAAAU
This 471-nucleotide long non-coding RNA is filed under the name Gossypium raimondii (Peruvian cotton). RNAcentral describes it as "long non-coding RNA (GRAI_LNC006776)". The record is from RNAcentral. Lineage: Eukaryota; Viridiplantae; Streptophyta; Magnoliopsida; Malvales; Malvaceae.